This is a non-coding RNA of Paramuricea clavata, 1256 nucleotides long. The record is from the annotation of a GenBank genome assembly. Lineage: Eukaryota; Metazoa; Cnidaria; Anthozoa; Malacalcyonacea; Plexauridae.
GUUAUAGGCUUUUUAGAAGGACUAAAAAGAGGACACGAGGAUCAUUCGCCAAAUUAUAAAGCACUAGUCUUACUUCGCCCCAUGGUGCAAAGUAGUCUUGGUGCCGCCAUUUUAGGAGCAAAAUCAAUCAACGAGAAGUUCCCUGUCGACUACAGUAAAAACACGGAGAGCUUUUUCACAUUCACACCGGGUUGUUCAUAAGAUCACCAGAAUUAAAUACAAUAAAAAGUCGCAUAAAUUAAAGACCAGCUGUAUUUUAUGUCAGGCUAAAAUUGCUCUUAAAUAAUGAGUAUUAGCGAGAAGUCUACACCGGAUUCCAGAGCCUUCGACAGUAAAUAAUAAAUUGAAACGUCGCGAAGGCACUGGUUCAACGGGAAGAUUCUUUGAUUAAACCGCGCCAAUCACAAAACAGAAUUAGUGGUCUUAGUACAGAAUCUGUACUAAAACCACUAAUUCUGUUUUGUGAUUGGCGCGGUUUAAUCUAAGAAUCUUCCCGUUGAACCAGAGCCUUCGCGACGUUUCAGUUUAUUAUUUACUGUCGAAGGCUCUGGAAUCCAGGGUUUGAGAAGUCAGACCACUAUUAAACGUGGUCAGGCCGAAUUGGUUCUUAACUGGUUCUUAUUUUAGUCAAAACAAUUGUUGAUGAUUUAGAAAUUUUGUUUCAUUAACUAAUAAGUUGUUGACAAUAUUUGAUAAAACGUUAUUAUGCUUAUUUUUCUUUCUCAAAAGAAAACUCUCACCUCCGUUCAUAGUAUAAAUUAUUUUUUAGUUUUUAAUUCUAUACUAUACUAUAGGAUUAUACGAAAGGUAUUUUUUCCCAAUAUUUUUUUUAUAUUUGCAACGUUUUGGGCAGUGUAACUCUCUGUCUUCAGGCUAUAAACUACGAAAAUGAAUUACGAAUCAAACUUCUGAAUGUUGACGUGUUAAUACCAUACGUAUAAUCCUAUAGAAUUAAAAAAUAAUUUAUAUUAUUAUGCUUGUUUAGUAUUUAGCAACAGAUUAUGCUCUUUAUUUGCAAUAGUGUUAAAGUAAGUAUAUAUCUGCGUAUACCUGCAUGCCCUAGAAUUUUACGCGGGCUUUUACUGUAGCUGUGGACCUGGUGCCAAACUGAAUAUCAUCUUUUAGUAAUUAAUCAAAAUGUUCCAACUUUCAACUUAAUGAUUUGGUCAAUUUUCAAAGACCAUGCAUGAUUGGGGCUGAGCCUCCUUAACAAAACAGAACAACUAUGGCUGACUAUUACUGUAGUUUUAUCGAAU